RNAcentral lists this ribosomal RNA (325 nucleotides) under uncultured eukaryote. Its description in RNAcentral is "partial 18S ribosomal RNA". It matches the Rfam family "Eukaryotic small subunit ribosomal RNA", at positions 1470 to 1796 of the family's 1831-position model. The record is from RNAcentral.
CCCCUAGAUGUUCUGGGCCGCACGCGCGCUACACUGAACAGUUCAACAAGUCUUAACCUUGGCCGAUAGGUCUGGGUAAUCUUUGAACGCUGUUCGUGAUUGGGAUAGACCUUUGCAAUUAUGGGUCUUCAACGAGGAAUUCCUAGUAAACGCAGAUCAUCAAUCUGCAUUGAUUACGUCCCUGCCCUUUGUACACACCGCCCGUCGCACCUACCGAUUGAAUGGUCCGGUGAAGCCUCGGGAUUGUGGCGAGUUUCCUUUAUUGGAAGUUUGUCGCGAGAACUUGUCUAAACCUUAUCAUUUAGAGGAAGGUGAAGUCGUAACA